CUUUGAUAACCCAGAAAGUAUGGAGUGGGCUUUGCAGUAAGGAACAGCUUGCUGAAUAUGAUAGAACCAAACAGCGGUGGCUCUGAGCGACUCCUAGCACUCUGCCUUAACACCACUCAUCAGUGUGUACGCUCCAACGCUGUCCGCCACUUCGGUCACCAAGGAUGAGUUCUACGAGAACCUUGCAUUGACCAUCAGGAAUAUACCAAGUGCCAAACAGUUUGUUUUCCUGGGCGACUUCAACACCAGAGUGC
Long non-coding RNA from Octopus sinensis (East Asian common octopus), 254 nucleotides. RefSeq lists it as uncharacterized. The record is from RefSeq and is a predicted model, not a curated record. Lineage: Eukaryota; Metazoa; Mollusca; Cephalopoda; Octopoda; Octopodidae. The transcript is spliced from 3 exons.